CUAGAGGGAACAGUUGGAACGACUGCUAAACCCGGAUGAGCCGAAAGGUAAAAGAUUUAUCGCCUAGAGAGGGGCUUGCGUCUGAUUAGCUAGUUGGUAAGGUAAAGGCUUACCAAGGCGACGAUCAGUAGCUGGUCUGAGAGGAUGAUCAGCCACACUGGGACUGAGACACGGCCCAGACUCCUACGGGAGGCAGCAGUGGGGAAUUUUCCGCAAUGGGCGAAAGCCUGACGGAGCAAGACCGCGUGGGGGAGGAAGGUUCUUGGAUUGUCAACCCCUUUUCUCAGGGAAGAACGCAAUGACGGUACCUGAGGAAAAAGCAUCGGCUAACUCCGUGCCAGCAGCCGCGGUAAUACGGGGGAUGCAAGCGUUAUCCGGAAUGAUUGGGCGUAAAGAGUCCGUAGGUAGUCAAUCAAGUCUGCUGUUAAAGAGCGAGGCUUAACUUCGUAAAGGCAGUGGAAACUGGAAGACUAGAGUGUAGUAGGGGCAGAGGGAAUUCCUGGUGUAGCGGUGAAAUGCGUAGAGAUCAGGAAGAACACCGGUGGCGAAGGCGCUCUGCUGGGCUAUAACUGACACUGAGGGACGAAAGCUAGGGGAGCGAAUGGGAUUAGAUACCCCGGUAGUGNCGCGA
Molecule: ribosomal RNA, 631 nt
Filed under: Planktothrix sp. 2H9
Lineage: Bacteria; Bacillati; Cyanobacteriota; Cyanophyceae; Oscillatoriales; Microcoleaceae
Description: bacterial SSU rRNA
Rfam family: Bacterial small subunit ribosomal RNA
Source: RNAcentral